UUCCGUAGGUGAACCUGCGGAAGGAUCAUUCGCACGUAUCCAACCAAACAUCUGUGAACGAUUCCCCGUGAAGCUCCCUCGGGAGCUUCAAGGGCAAGGGCGCAAGGAUGAGGCUGCGGCAGUUGUCCUUGUGCCUUGUCAGGUCAUCUGAUUAACCUUGUGUUAAACCUUUAUUGAUCGCAUUGGCUUGCCAAUGUAUUCGUUCUUACAACUUUCAGCGACGGAUGUCUCGGCUCGAACAACGAUGAAGGGCGCAGCGAAGUGUGAUAAACAUUGUGAAUUGCAGAAUUCCGUGAACCAACAGGUACUUGAACGCAUACUGCGCUUUCGGGAUAUCCCUGAAAGCAUGCCUGCUUCAGUGUCUACUCAUUCUCAUUCACAGUCGGCCUCGUGCCGUUGUGAGUUUCUGCGCGCCACGGCGCACUUGUGCCCGUGACGCGUGUAGUGUAUCCAGCUCCACGCGAUGACAUUUGAUUGCGCUCCACUUGCAAUUGUGUUGUGAUCUGUCAGAGCGAAUGGUGCUGCCUCUACAGCCGCCAAGGCGUCCAAUCAAAGACAUGAAGUUAGGUCAGAGAACCCGCUGAAUUUAAGCAUAUCAAUAAGCGGAGG
RNAcentral lists this ribosomal RNA (609 nucleotides) under uncultured eukaryote. Its description in RNAcentral is "eukaryotic LSU rRNA". The stretch from base 210 to 364 matches the Rfam family "5.8S ribosomal RNA". The record is from RNAcentral.